Molecule: ribosomal RNA, 655 nt
Filed under: Salmonella enterica subsp. enterica serovar Typhimurium
Lineage: Bacteria; Pseudomonadati; Pseudomonadota; Gammaproteobacteria; Enterobacterales; Enterobacteriaceae
Description: partial 23S ribosomal RNA
Rfam family: Bacterial large subunit ribosomal RNA
Source: RNAcentral
GGGUUGUGAGGUUAAGCGACUAAGCGUACACGGUGGAUGCCCUGGCAGUCAGAGGCGAUGAAGGACGUGCUAAUCUGCGAUAAGCGCCGGUAAGGUGAUAUGAACCGUUAUAACCGGCGAUUUCCGAAUGGGGAAACCCAGUGUGAUUCGUCACACUAUCAUUAACUGAAUCCAUAGGUUAAUGAGGCGAACCGGGGGAACUGAAACAUCUAAGUACCCCGAGGAAAAGAAAUCAACCGAGAUUCCCCCAGUAGCGGCGAGCGAACGGGGAGGAGCCCAGAGCCUGAAUCAGCAUGUGUGUUAGUGGAAGCGUCUGGAAAGGCGCGCGAUACAGGGUGACAGCCCCGUACACAAAAGCGCAUGUGCUGUGAGCUCGAUGAGUAGGGCGGGACACGUGGUAUCCUGUCUGAAUAUGGGGGGACCAUCCUCCAAGGCUAAAUACUCCUGACUGACCGAUAGUGAACCAGUACCGUGAGGGAAAGGCGAAAAGAACCCCGGCGAGGGGAGUGAAAAAGAACCUGAAACCGUGUACGUACAAGCAGUGGGAGCACAGGUUUACCUGUGUGACUGCGUACCUUUUGUAUAAUGGGUCAGCGACUUAUAUUCUGUAGCAAGGUUAACCGUAUAGGGGAGCCGGAGGGAAACCGAGUCUUAA